AGCAGUUCAUUGCUUUCUUGAAGAUUUUCUUGUUUUACAACUAAAAGGGAGAGGUAGUGGACUCCACGUCUUCAUCAUUGGUGUUAAUCCUCUUAUGCUUAGUGUGAACUUAUUAGUGUUUUUUUUCUCCCUCCUUCUCUCUCUUCCUCUAAGCCUUAUUUCUCCACCUGGGUGUAUGUACUUCACUGGAUUUCCCCAUUAUGCUCCAGGAACCUCAUCAUCCUGUAAGAUCACUUCAGCUCUAGAACUCUCACCUUAUCAGGCAUGAAUAAAUAGAGCUUACACGUGCGACAAAGAUAAGACGGGCGCUGUCUGCGUAUUUUAUCCCUACUGGAGAAAACCUCAGAUUUUCUUUUUCUUCAUCCUGCUGGGAAAUGUUCUGGUUCCAUGAUGGGAUGGUGUGGUGCUGGUUGGUGAAGAAUCUCUCUUUUCUAGGUGGUAACCCUAAGCCUGAUAGCUUGAUGACUGUUUGGAUGAUACACUGGAUACAAGAGAAGGCACAGUAUCUGAAGUCUUGGAUUUUGUGCCCCAAUUCAACAGCCUUCCCAUUGCUCAUUCCCCAUAACACUUUCCUUUUCUCAUCACUCACUCCUUUAGUUUCUUUUAUGCUUUUGUAAAAUAUAGACUUUGUUUGAGGGAACAUAGUGUGGUAUUUGUAAGUAGGAAGUUGGAAAUAGGAGCAGAAUUACAUUGGAUAUAUUUUAUGCAGCAUAGCAAGCUUUUAUUAAAUGUUCAUUGUUUGACAAUCUCUAUUUCACUUGAUGUAAAUGAAAAGACCAAAAUAUUGUACUCCCUGGCUUCAGCAAGCUUGCUUUCUUUUGUCUUCUCACUGGGGGAGAAGGAGCAUGUAUACAGAUGAGUAAAAACUUGGAAACUCUAGGAAGGAGUGGGGAAGUUAGGAACUGUUGGUGCAUUGGGAAAGGCCUCUUGGAGAAGGUGCUCAGAGUUGGGUGUUGUAGUAGUUAUCCAUUCCAAGAGGCAGAUCGAGAAGCUGGAGGGCCUUCUAGAUAUUAGAGCUUCUUAUAGGACAGGGUACAGAGAUGGGAAGGAAGGGAAUGCCAUAGUAUAAAUAAAGGCUUCCUAAUUUUGAGUAGAAUAUAGACC
Molecule: long non-coding RNA, 1104 nt
Filed under: Monodelphis domestica (gray short-tailed opossum)
Lineage: Eukaryota; Metazoa; Chordata; Mammalia; Didelphimorphia; Didelphidae
Description: lncRNA (ENSMODG00000041081.1)
Source: RNAcentral